RNAcentral lists this ribosomal RNA (253 nucleotides) under uncultured bacterium. RNAcentral's name for it is "partial 16S ribosomal RNA". It matches the Rfam family "Bacterial small subunit ribosomal RNA", at positions 524 to 776 of the family's 1533-position model. The record is from RNAcentral.
UACGAAGGGAGCUAGCGUUGUUCGGAAUUACUGGGCGUAAAGCGCACGUAGGCGGCUUUUUAAGUCAGGGGUGAAAUCCCGGGGCUCAACCCCGGAACUGCCCUUGAAACUGGAGAGCUAGAAUCUUGGAGAGGCGAGUGGAAUUCCGAGUGUAGAGGUGAAAUUCGUAGAUAUUCGGAAGAACACCAGUGGCGAAGGCGACUCGCUGGACAAGUAUUGACGCUGAGGUGCGAAAGCGUGGGGAGCAAACAGG